RNAcentral lists this ribosomal RNA (256 nucleotides) under uncultured bacterium. RNAcentral describes it as "partial 16S ribosomal RNA". It matches the Rfam family "Bacterial small subunit ribosomal RNA", at positions 524 to 776 of the family's 1533-position model. The record is from RNAcentral.
UACGGGGGGGAGCAAGCGUUGUUCGGAUUUACUGGGCGUAAAGGGCGCGUAGGCGGUCGUGACAAGUCACUUGUGAAAUCUCCGGGCUUAACUCGGAACGGUCAAGUGAUACUGUCGGACUAGAGUACAGAAGGGGGCAACUGGAACUCCUGGUGUAGCGGUGGAAUGCGCAGAUAUCAGGAAGAACACCGACGGCGAAGGCAGCUCGCUGGGACGGUACUGACGCUGAGGCGCGAAAGCGUGGGGAGCGAACAGG